AACGAACGCUGGCGGUAUGCUUAACACAUGCAAGUCGAACGAACAAAAUUGGGGCUUGCUCCAAUUUUAGUGAGUGGCAAACGGGUGAGUAACACGUGGGAAUCUACCUAUCAGUACGGAAUAACAUUUGGAAACAGAUGCUAAUACCGUAUAUUCUCCAAGGAGGAAAGAUUUAUCGCUGAUAGAUGAGCCCGCGCAAGAUUAGGUAGUUGGUAGGGUAAUGGCCUACCAAGCCGACGAUCUUUAGCUGGUCUGAGAGGAUGAUCAGCCACACUGGGACUGAGACACGGCCCAGACUCCUACGGGAGGCAGCAGUGGGGAAUAUUGGACAAUGGGCGAAUGCCUGAUCCAGCAAUACCGCGUGAAUGAUGAAGGCCUUAGGGUUGUAAAGUUCUUUUAGUUGGAAAGAUAAUGACGGUACCAACAGAAAAAGCCCCGGCUAACUCCGUGCCAGCCGCCGCCGUAA
RNAcentral lists this ribosomal RNA (466 nucleotides) under uncultured bacterium. Its description in RNAcentral is "partial 16S ribosomal RNA". It matches the Rfam family "Bacterial small subunit ribosomal RNA", at positions 29 to 523 of the family's 1533-position model. The record is from RNAcentral.